GAGUGAAAUAGAACCUGAAACCGUGUGCUUACAAGUAGUCAGAGCCCGUUAAUGGGUGAUGGCGUGCCUUUUGUAGAAUGAACCGGCGAGUUACGAUUUGAUGCAAGGUUAAGCAGUAAAUGUGGAGCCGUAGCGAAAGCGAGUCUGAAUAGGGCGUUUAGUAUUUGGUCGUAGACCCGAAACCAGGUGAUCUACCCUUGGUCAGGUUGAAGUUCAGGUAACACUGAAUGGAGGACCGAACCGACUUACGUUGAAAAGUGAGCGGAUGAACUGAGGGUAGCGGAGAAAUUCCAAUCGAACCUGGAGAUAGCUGGUUCUCUCCGAAAUAGCUUUAGGGCUAGCCUCAAGUGAUGAUUAUUGGAGGUAGAGCACUGUUUGGACGAGGGGCCCCUCUCGGGUUACCGAAUUCAGACAAACUCCGAAUGCCAAUUAAUUUAACUUGGGAGUCAGAACAUGGGUGAUAAGGUCCGUGUUCGAAAGGGAAACAGCCCAGACCACCAGCUAAGGUCCCAAAAUAUAUGUUAAGUGGAAAAGGAUGUGGCGUUGCCCAGACAACUAGGAUGUUGGCUUAGAAGCAGCCAUCAUUUAAAGAGUGCGUAAUAGCUCACUAGUCGAGUGACACUGCGCCGAAAAUGUACCGGGGCUAAACAUAUUACCGAAGCUGUGGAUUGUCCUUUGGACAAUGGUAGGAGAGCGUUCUAAGGGCGUUGAAGCAUGAUCGUAAGGACAUGUGGAGCGCUUAGAAGUGAGAAUGCCGGUGUGAGUAGCGAAAGACGGGUGAGAAUCCCGUCCACCGAUUGACUAAGGUUUCCAGAGGAAGGCUCGUCCGCUCUGGGUUAGUCGGGUCCUAAGCUGAGGCCGACAGGCGUAGGCGAUGGAUAACAGGUUGAUAUUCCUGUACCACCUAUAAUCGUUUUAAUCGAUGGGGGGACGCAGUAGGAUAGGCGAAGCGUGCGAUUGGAUUGCACGUCUAAGCAGUAAGGCUGAGUAUUAGGCAAAUCCGGUACUCGUUAAGGCUGAGCUGUGAUGGGGAGAAGACAUUGUGUCUUCGAGUCGUUGAUUUCACACUGCCGAGAAAAGCCUCUAGAUAGAAAAUAGGUGCCCGUACCGCAAACCGACACAGGUAGUCAAGAUGAGAAUUCUAAGGUGAGCGAGCGAACUCUCGUUAAGGAACUCGGCAAAAUGACCCCGUAACUUCGGGAGAAGGGGUGCUCUUUAGGGUUAACGCCCAGGAGAGCCGCAGUGAAUAGGCCCAAGCGACUGUUUAUCAAAAACACAGGUCUCUGCUAAACCGUAAGGUGAUGUAUAGGGGCUGACGCCUGCCCGGUGCUGGAAGGUUAAGAGGAGUGGUUAGCUUCUGCGAAGCUACGAAUCGAAGCCCCAGUAAACGGCGGCCGUAACUAUAACGGUCCUAAGGUAGCGAAAUUCCUUGUCGGGUAAGUUCCGACCCGCACGAAAGGCGUAACGAUUUGGGCACUGUCUCAACGAGAGACUCGGUGAAAUCAUAGUACCUGUGAAGAUGCAGGUUACCCGCGACAGGACGGAAAGACCCCGUGGAGCUUUACUGUAGCCUGAUAUUGAAAUUCGGCACAGCUUGUACAGGAUAGGUAGGAGCCUUUGAAACGUGAGCGCUAGCUUACGUGGAGGCGCUGGUGGGAUACUACCCUAGCUGUGUUGGCUUUCUAACCCGCACCACUUAUCGUGGUGGGAGACAGUGUCA
RNAcentral lists this ribosomal RNA (1720 nucleotides) under Staphylococcus aureus M0058. RNAcentral describes it as "bacterial LSU rRNA". It matches the Rfam family "Bacterial large subunit ribosomal RNA", at positions 536 to 2259 of the family's 2925-position model. Lineage: Bacteria; Bacillati; Bacillota; Bacilli; Caryophanales; Staphylococcaceae. The record is from RNAcentral.